RNAcentral lists this ribosomal RNA (484 nucleotides) under uncultured bacterium. RNAcentral describes it as "partial 16S ribosomal RNA". It matches the Rfam family "Bacterial small subunit ribosomal RNA", at positions 29 to 507 of the family's 1533-position model. The record is from RNAcentral.
AUUGAACGCUGGCGGAAUGCUUUACACAUGCAAGUCGAGCGGCAGCGCGGCCUUCGGGCUGGCGGCGAGCGGCGAACGGGUGAGUAAUGCAUCGGAACAUGCCCAGUCGUGGGGGAUAACACUUCGAAAGAAGUGCUAAUACCGCAUACGUCCUGAGGGGGAAAGCGGGGGAUCGCAAGACCUCGCGCGAUUGGAGUGGCCGAUGUCAGAUUAGCUAGUUGGUGGGGUAAAGGCCUACCAAGGCGACGACCUGUAGCUGGUCUGAGAGGAUGAUCAGCCACACUGGGACUGAGACACGGCCCAGACUCCUACGGGAGGCAGCAGUGGGGAAUUUUGGACAAUGGGGGCAACCCUGAUCCAGCCAUUCCGCGUGAGUGAAGAAGGCCUUCGGGUUGUAAAGCUCUUUCGGCAGGAACGAAACGGUGGGCUCUAACAUAGUCCGCUAAUGACGGUACCUGAAGAAGAAGCACCGGCUAACUACGUG